ACACUACCUUUUUCUAUACUGCAUGUAGAAGUUAGAAAGAGAAGGGAAAAGAAGAAAGAAGGGGAGGAGAUCAGGAGGAGGAAGAAGGGGGCCGGUGCCCCUCUCACCCAGCUGCUGGUCUGUGCAGCAGCAAGGGAGGAGGAGAAAGGGAGAAGGGAAGGAGAAGGAGGAGAAGAAAGAGGAAAAUCCUGAGCUCUUGUCAAGUUGCUCGUGGUUGCCCUAGGUGGUGGUGCUCCUGAUCGUGUUUGAAGGUUGUCGGUUGUAUCGAAAAAAGGCAAGUAAACGUAGAGGUGCUUCAUGCUUGCUUGCUUGGACGGGAUGGGAGUAGCAGCACUUCUACAUGUUAUAAUUACACAUAUUAAUACAGUAGUGGUGUUGUAAUAAUAAUGCAAGUGUUGGAGUUGUUUAGCUCUUAGUGUUGCUUAGCGUUGGUAAACUUGUUUUAGUUUGCUUUGUUGGAGGUCAAAAAUUUAAUGCCUUAAUGCAUUCGUUUUGCUAGGAUACU
Molecule: long non-coding RNA, 505 nt
Organism: Phragmites australis (common reed)
Lineage: Eukaryota; Viridiplantae; Streptophyta; Magnoliopsida; Poales; Poaceae
Exons: 4
Source: RefSeq, a predicted model, not a curated record